UGUCCGGAUUAUUGGGCGUAAAGCGCGCGCAGGCGGAUUGGUCAGUCUGUCUUAAAAGUUCGGGGCUUAACCCCGUGAUGGGAUGGAAACUGCCAAUCUAGAGUAUCGGAGAGGAAAGUGGAAUUCCUAGUGUAGCGGUGAAAUGCGUAGAUAUUAGGAAGAACACCAGUGGCGAAGGCGACUUUCUGGACGAAAACUGACGCUGAGGCGCGAAAGCCAGGGGAGCGAACGGGAUUAGAUACCCCGGUAGUCCUGGCCGUAAACGAUGGGUACUAGGUGUAGGAGGUAUCGACCCCUUCUGUGCCGGAGUUAACGCAAUAAGUACCCCGCCUGGGGAGUACGACCGCAAGGUUGAAACUCAAAGGAAUUGACGGGGGCCCGCACAAGCGGUGGAGUAUGUGGUUUAAUUCGACGCAACGCGAAGAACCUUACCAGGUCUUGACAUUGAUGGACAGGACUAGAGAUAGUUCCUCUUCUUCGGAAGCCAGAAAACAGGUGGUGCACGGUUGUCGUCAGCUCGUGUCGUG
This 527-nucleotide ribosomal RNA is filed under the name uncultured bacterium. RNAcentral describes it as "bacterial SSU rRNA". It matches the Rfam family "Bacterial small subunit ribosomal RNA", at positions 542 to 1069 of the family's 1533-position model. The record is from RNAcentral.